RNAcentral lists this ribosomal RNA (443 nucleotides) under uncultured bacterium. Its description in RNAcentral is "SSU rRNA". It matches the Rfam family "Bacterial small subunit ribosomal RNA", at positions 26 to 518 of the family's 1533-position model. The record is from RNAcentral.
AGAACGAACGCUGGCGGCAGGCCUAACACAUGCAAGUCGAACGCCCCGCAAGGGGAGUGGCAGACGGGUGAGUAACGCGUGGGAACAUACCUCUUGGUUCGGAAUAGCUCAGGGAAACUUGAAUUAAUACCGAAUACGUCCGCAAGGAGAAAGAUUUAUCGCCGAGAGAUUGGCCCGCGUCCGAUUAGCUAGUUGGUGGGGUAAAAGCUUACCAAGGCGACGAUCGGUAGCUGGUCUGAGAGGAUGAUCAGCCACACUGGGACUGAGACACGGCCCAGACUCCUACGGGAGGCAGCAGUGGGGGAUAUUGGACAAUGGGCGCAAGCCUGAUCCAGCCAUGCCGCGUGAGUGAUGAAGGCCCUAGGGUUGUAAAGCUCUUUCGUCAGGGACGAUAAUGACGGUACCUGAAGAGAAGCCCCGGCUAACUUCGCGCCAGCAGCCGC